CGGGUUCUGCUCUUUUCGUGCAAGGCCCUUUUCCAGUGGCCGAUAAUCUCUUCCGAGGGAGCUGGCUCUGUCAGGAUCGUGGUCUUGGUAUCCGGUGCCCACCUGUUAAAUCAGGCUCUCGGGAAAAAACAGCCUUCACGGUCGCUGCGGUUCCCGC
Molecule: non-coding RNA, 157 nt
Filed under: Paracoccaceae bacterium
Lineage: Bacteria; Pseudomonadati; Pseudomonadota; Alphaproteobacteria; Rhodobacterales; Paracoccaceae
Description: 6S RNA
Rfam family: 6S / SsrS RNA
About the family: E. coli 6S RNA was the first non coding RNA to be sequenced, but its function was unknown until recently. It consists of 184 nucleotides that fold into an extended hairpin structure with a large single-stranded internal bulge.
Source: RNAcentral